GGGUGACCUCCAGCGAGUCACUGGAGCCUGCAGAAUCUCAUUUGAGAAGUUGGAUAAGAUCUCUGCCCCCACCGCCCAGGCCCCAGGGGAGCUGUGCAGACUGACUCUCUUCUGAAGAGUCCCUUGGAAAUGUUUUGGCGGUGGCAAGAGAAAGAGCUUUACUUGUUCUUCAGAAAGACUUGCCGGAGUCAGACACUGAGGACUCCAGAGCAUCUGGAGGAAGCCCAAGGGCCACCUCCCCUGAGAAGCCUUCCUUCGCCAGCCUGAAUAAAAUGGACCUCUAUACACACACCUGUCUCAGUGGUGGCAGUGGCAGGCCAUCUGGAGCGGCUGCUGCUGUCACACCAGCUGCAGCAGGGAGGCACGGCUGGGGCUGCAUGUUCCAUGGAACUGGCAGGAGCUGGGGACAGGCAGGAGCCUCUCCCAUUCUGAGUCGGGGUGGCAGCUCCCUGCGUGCCGCUGCAGCUGCCCAAGCCACGGCUGUGGACCCAGGCAUCCCUGUGCUCUCGGAGCCCGGGAGCAGGUGGGAACCCCACCCUCCCAGGUGCAGCUGCGGCCGCCCAAACCACAGCUGCAGACCCGGGCCUCCUGCUCCACGGAGCAGGCUGGAGUCCUGCCCCACAUCCCACAUAGCUGCACCGGCCCUAACUGCGGCUGCGGCCCAGGCAUCCCUGCACUCUUGGGGGCCCUGGAAGGCCCCCCUGCCCUCACAGGCUUGGAAAUGCCCGCUCCCACUGCCUGGCUUCUCCUUGCUGUCGGCACCUGCUCUGAUCUUGGGGCAAAAUUGGGGCCGAGCCUGGGUUUUGUCACAGCCCAGCCAGGUAUGCACACACUCGGGGCAGUGCUGACAUGCCAGCCCCCUGCUGUCUCAGCCCCCUCCAGAUUUUGGGCACUGAUGAGCAUAGGAGUGAAGCUGAGGAGGAACUGAGGGCAGCUUGGCACUGGCCUGCAGACGCCCCUUGGUACCUAUAGCCUGGGCGCCAUGAAUGGCAGCAGGAGGCAGACAGGUUUCUGGGCAGAAGGGGGUGAGUCCCUGGUGAGGCCCACCUUCAGGCCAGGGAGGCCCUGAAGGCUGGGGGCCAGGCUGUCAGUGCCGUGGACUGGAGUGUGAACUUGUGUUGCCUUUUCUGGGCCUGCCCAUGGCCGCCCAUGUACCAGUCAGCAUGAACUUCCCCCUCUCUGAGGCUCACAGAAGCCCCAGGCUCAGCCAGAGCUGAGCAGACGUCGGAUGACCAGCUGUAGUGAGGAACUGCCCCAUCUUGCUC
Molecule: long non-coding RNA, 1265 nt
Filed under: Pan troglodytes (chimpanzee)
Lineage: Eukaryota; Metazoa; Chordata; Mammalia; Primates; Hominidae
Description: lincRNA
Source: RNAcentral